RNAcentral lists this ribosomal RNA (253 nucleotides) under uncultured bacterium. RNAcentral's name for it is "partial 16S ribosomal RNA". It matches the Rfam family "Bacterial small subunit ribosomal RNA", at positions 524 to 776 of the family's 1533-position model. The record is from RNAcentral.
UACGUAGGCAGCGAGCGUUGUUCGGAAUUACUGGGCGUAAAGAGUGUGUAGGCGGUGCUCUAAGUCUGUCGUGAAAUCUCCCGGCUUAACUGGGAGGGUGCGGCGGAAACUGGCGAACUGGAGUGCGGCAGAGGGGGGUGGAAUUCCGCGUGUAGCAGUGAAAUGCGUAGAGAUGCGGAGGAACACCGAUGGCGAAGGCAGCCCCCUGGGCUAGCACUGACGCUCAGGCACGAAAGCGUGGGGAGCAAACAGG